This is a long non-coding RNA of Mya arenaria, 988 nucleotides long. RefSeq lists it as uncharacterized. The record is from RefSeq and is a predicted model, not a curated record. The transcript is spliced from 3 exons. NCBI's taxonomy places the organism in Eukaryota, Metazoa, Mollusca, Bivalvia, Myida, Myidae.
AUGGCUGCCUGACCUGACUUAAAAAUCAUAUCAGACUAGAAGAUUAUAAGUAUUGAGUUGGACAAAAUGAAACCUGAGCCUACCAAAGUUGACAUAUAUUGUUAUAUAUGUUGAUUGGAAGAUUCAAAUUCUGGAAAGUAGAAAAGGGCGUGUUACAUACUGUUACCACAGCCAUGACAGAAACCAUAUUGAGGAGCUGGUCCGCCUGUAGGAAGAAUUGCUCUGUUGAUUUGAACAGCAGUUCACUAUUCCCUUGCCAUACAUCAGCACUUGGUUUGUCAUAAAGAGCAUUUCUGAGCAGUUAUGGUGACCACUAACUAUGCAGGUGUUGCAGUGAAAUUUGCACCAGUGUGUUUUCUUUGGAGAUUAAGAGAUAGUGUCCAGCAAUGAAGACCCAACUCAAGAUCUGACCUUGUAAGGCCAAUAUGAAAUAACUGUGUGGAAAAAUGGGAAAUACCUGCAGUUAGGAAUGCACGUAAAUCAUCAAAAGAACAGUGUGGAAUUAAUCUUGAAUAACUUGACAUUUAUUUUGUUUGACAUAUUUAUUCAUGGUUAUUUUAAUUUAGAAUUAAUAGGAGGGAACAUCACUAUGUAGUUUCAUGUUCAUCAUCAGAUUAAAACCCAUGUACAUGCUCAAAUGGGUAUUCACAUGUUGGCUUGUAGGUCCGUCUGUCUGCCAGUAGACCAAAGCUUUUCCAGGUGAUAACUUCACAAUUCCUAGACCUAUUGUCAAUCUUGACAUGAAAGUUGGGCUUUUUUUUCUUCUUUUCUUUUUGGAACCAUUUCCAAUGGCCCGUUUAUUGGUUAAAAUAAUAUAUAUAUAUAAGAAAAACAACAAUAAAAACGACAACACUAUUUUACUACAAACGUUUAAGCUUUUCGAAAAAAAAAAAUAUCAUGUUAUGAUUUUUAUUAUUUUUGUGCAAGUAUAAAACAAGCGUCUCUAAAUUCGCCUUAAGAAUGUUAAUUAUGCUUAUAUUUGUACUGC